RNAcentral lists this unclassified non-coding RNA (216 nucleotides) under Glomus sp. RNAcentral describes it as "partial contains 5.8S ribosomal RNA and internal transcribed spacer 2". The stretch from base 1 to 71 matches the Rfam family "5.8S ribosomal RNA", at positions 84 to 154 of the family's 154-position model. Lineage: Eukaryota; Fungi; Glomeromycota; Glomeromycetes; Glomerales; Glomeraceae. The record is from RNAcentral.
GUGAAUCAUCAAAUCUUUGAACGCAAAUUGCACUCUCUGGUAUUCCGGAAAGUAUGCCUGUUUGAGGGUCAGUUAAAUAAAAAUCGGGGUUGGUUCUGCCUUUCCUGGGUACGCGUCGGGAUGGGGGCGUCUUACCCUCGGGUAAGGGACUUAAAAUUUUUGCAUGAUUUUCGAACGUAUUUAAAUCGCUUACGUCCGUUUGAUAUAUCGACUGCU